GAUGAAGAACGUAGCGAAAUGCGAUACUUGGUGUGAAUUGCAGAAUCCCGUGAACCAUCGAGUCUUUGAACGCAAGUUGCGCCCGAAGCCAUUAGGCCGAGGGCACGUCUGCCUGGGCGUCACACAACGUUGCCCCCCCAAACCUCGUCUUCCAAGAGGACGGGGGGCGGAUGCUGGCCUCCCGUGUGCCACGGCUCGCGGUUGGCCUAAAUGCGAGUACUCGGCGACGAGCGCCGCGGCAAUCGGUGGUUGUCUAACCCUCGGUGCCAUGCUGCGCGCGCGAUUCGCUCACUGUUACUCGACGACCCCAAUGCGUCGUAGCCACGACCCUCACAACGCGACCCCAGGUCAGGCGGGGCUACCCGCUGAGUUUAAGCAUAUCAAUAAGCGGAGGA
This 395-nucleotide unclassified non-coding RNA is filed under the name soil metagenome. RNAcentral describes it as "partial contains 5.8S ribosomal RNA, internal transcribed spacer 2, and large subunit ribosomal RNA". The stretch from base 1 to 122 matches the Rfam family "5.8S ribosomal RNA", at positions 35 to 154 of the family's 154-position model. The record is from RNAcentral.